Molecule: ribosomal RNA, 116 nt
Filed under: Escherichia coli O69:H11 str. 06-3325
Lineage: Bacteria; Pseudomonadati; Pseudomonadota; Gammaproteobacteria; Enterobacterales; Enterobacteriaceae
Source: RNAcentral
CCUGGCGGACGUAGCGCGGUGGUCCGACCUGACCCCAUGCCGAACUCAGAAGUGAAACGCCGUAGCGCCGAUGGUAGUGUGGGGUCUCCCCAUGCGAGAGUAGGGAACUGCCAGGC